UAGAGUAAUGCGUGACCAACCUGCCCCAUGCUCCAGAAUAGCUCUUGGAAACGGGUGGUAAUGCUGGAUGCUCCAACUUGACGCAUGUCUUGUUGGGAAAGUGUUUAGUGGCAUGGGAUGGGGUCGCGUCCUAUCAGCUUGUAGGCGGGGUAAUGGCCCACCUAGGCUUCGACGGGUAGCCGGCCUGAGAGGGCGGACGGCCACAUUGGACUGAGAUACGGCCCAGACUCCUACGGGAGGCAGCAGCG
Molecule: ribosomal RNA, 248 nt
Filed under: uncultured Gardnerella sp.
Lineage: Bacteria; Bacillati; Actinomycetota; Actinomycetes; Bifidobacteriales; Bifidobacteriaceae
Description: partial 16S ribosomal RNA
Rfam family: Bacterial small subunit ribosomal RNA
Source: RNAcentral